This 661-nucleotide long non-coding RNA is filed under the name Sinocyclocheilus rhinocerous. RNAcentral's name for it is "lncRNA (ENSSRHG00000029079.1)". Lineage: Eukaryota; Metazoa; Chordata; Actinopteri; Cypriniformes; Cyprinidae. The record is from RNAcentral.
UAGAUUAUUAUAUUAUUGUAGACUUUUUGCCUUAAAUGGCUUAGACUUUUGGUGCAUUAACUUUACCUUUUGAGUUGAGGGGUGUGUAUUGUGAAGAAGCAAGACAUGCAGCAGACAUACAAUGCGUUGUUCAUUAUCCAUUUUUUUUAGUCUAAGCCAAAAAUAUUUUGUUUCCAUAGGAUAUUGACGAUAGUUAUAUAAAUAAGCUGCAUUAUACUUAAUAUUAAUGUUUAAUAUCAUGUGGUACAUAACGUAUUUGCUUAAUAUGUUGAUAUACAUUUUGUAAUGAUGUUAUAUAAUACAGUAUGUUAAGUCAUCAAGUCUCAUUACAAAUGUAUCUUCUGCAGGCACACAGAGUGGCCAAGAAAAGAAAGAUGGACCAUCUACUUUGCUGAUAAUCUUUGCAUUCUGUGUUGUUGUUGGAGUCAUAGUAUGCAUACUUGUUGCUAUUGCUACUAGAGACAAGUGGUACGGACCGAGACAGAGCAGAAACAUCACAACUGAAGUGCACAACAAAGACUACAGUAAAUCAGAAACACUGCCUCUGUCAGAGAAAGAACAGGAGAUAGUGGCACUGAUGAGUGUUGCGACGCUGAAGAAUGGUAAAAUGGAGGACAUUGCUGCCUGUCUGGAUGAGCAUGAGAAAGAGUAUUUAAUGUAA